AGAAACGAUUGAAACAGGAAUUAAAAGGGGAAAACGGAAGGAGAAGGAGGGGGAAGAAGGAGGGGGAAGAAGGAGGACGGCUCGGAGAAAGAACGGACGGGGCAUCGUGGUUGGGAUCUAUAAGGGGGCACCGAUGUCGUGGUGUGGGAGGUGUGAGGCUCGACAGGCAGCGGAAGAGGUAUGUAGAGUUUUAGAUUUGGGAAUGAGAUGAAGGAUAUCUUGAUGGGACGAAAGGGUAAAUGUGCAUGAAAGGAGCAUCGGAGUAGAUCCGAUCUUGAUGAAUGUGUUCAUGUAGGAUAAGAGAGUUAGAUGGUAGGAUACCUAAAAACCUUGGGUCAUCCGAUCCAUGGAUUUAAUAUAGUAUUGUCAUUUGUAGUAGGUUAUUGUUUAAUUAAUUUUACUGGCGUUGUUUACUUUAUUCUAUUGCGAUGGGUUUAAUAUUUUAUUAUAGGUUAUUGUUAUUAUUUUAGCAUAUCAUUGUUUCAUUCUACUACCAUUUAUUGAUUUAUCUUAUCGUGAUAAUAUAAUUAAGGGUGAUAAAGUAUUUAAAUGGUAGGAUCAUGGAGUUGUCUAUUGUUGGCUCACUAUGGGGAAAAUUUGGGUUUAAUUGGGUUUAAAUUGAUAUUGCUAUCGUCUUCAUGUUGCUGGUCAUAUUUGGCCUAUAGGUGUUGCUGCUUAUGUUAUGGUUGGGUCUCAUGAUUUUUUAUAUUUUUGUUACUGUCGGGUUCUAUUGAAAAUUGGGUUAAAUUGAGUUUUAAAGUGAUAAUGCCAUCUUCACUUGUUGGUGUCUAUAUUUUGCCUAUAUGUGUUAUGGCUUAUAUUAUGGUUGAGUCUCAUGAUUUGCUCUAUUUUUGUUACUGUGGAGUUCUAUUGAUGACUGUGUUAAUGGGGUUUAAUAUGACAUAGGAUUGCAUGCUAAAUUGGCAUGUAAACUGUUUCGCUUAAAUAUUUUAUUGCUGUCUUGUUUUGUGAUCGUCGAUGACAUGGCAGAUUAUUGAUUUACCCCUAUCUUUAGGUGUUCUACAUACUAUUGGGGCAUGUUGGAUUUGCAUAUAAGUUAUUUCUCAUUGUGGUUGAUUCGAUUAAUUUAUUUAUGAUUAGAUAAGGAACAUGUUAUAGAGGUGAAUGUUUGGUUAGAAGUUAAGAUGUUUAUCAUGUGGUCUGUUUUGAUAGUAUUUAUGUUGUUGUUUUGUUUAUUACGAAAUGUCAUGGGGGAUGCAUGUUUUGGGCAGCUAAUAGGAUGUUUCAGGUGGUGUUUCUAUUAUUAGUUGCUGAUUUAAAUUAUAAUAAGAUUGGGGGAAAUUCACAUGAAUGACAUGGGAAUAAGAAUAGUAAUGCAUGUAUGAAUGGGUCAAUGAACGAACGAAUGAAAGCAUGAAUGAGAUAUGACUGGGGUGUUAUGACGCUUAAUCAAUGGUGAAUGACGAAUGACGAGUGAUAACCUAUUAGGGGUGAUGAAUGAUUGGUACUAUUAGACUAAAUGUUUACAUAUGCAUGUGUUAUGUUAAUCGAUAUUGUUAGAAAUUGUCGGGGUAUAUGCUUUACAUGCUGAGUGAUGUAGUCACUCACGGAUACAUGACAUGUUGUAGGGAAUGGAGGCAACCGUGCCUAACUGGAGUGGUAGGAGACCAAGGACUCGUCGCGGUGACGAGGCACGUCGGCGUAGGGUGAUAGCGAUGUAGUUUUUUUUUUUUGUCUUUGGUUGUAAUAAGUACCGUGUUAGGUUUCCCGAAUACUAAGUGUUUUUAGUACUCCAUGAUGUGAAACUUUCAUUUGAAAUUAAAACUAUUGUUGAUCAUUUUAUGGGAGUUAAAACCCAGUUUGGAAGUAGGGUUCUGCAGACACUUCACAAACUUUUUCCAUGUCCUCCCAAAAGGUCGGGAGUCCAAUAGGAUCGAACCUAUCAUCGAUGUUGCGAACCGGCGAUGAAGGAGGAGGACCCAACCAUGAAGGUGUCGGACUCUCUCCUUGCCUGUCGAAUGGUAGCAUUGAUGAGGGAGAAUAUGGAGGCAUUGUCGUUCGGUUAAAAAUCGGUGGUCGUAGGUGAUGAAUCGGAGGUCGGAGGUAGAUAGAAAUGGAACUUGGUAGAAGAUGAAGGUAAAAAAUAACAGUGUAAAGGUAACAUACUUUAAAUCAGAUGAUUGAUGACCAACUCAUACCGUCCAUACCUACUAUCCCUGAUGAAAUGAGGGAGAAUAUGGAGGGACGUAUGGGUUGGAAGAGGGGGA
RNAcentral lists this long non-coding RNA (2228 nucleotides) under Zostera marina. RNAcentral describes it as "long non-coding RNA (ZMAR_LNC006146)". Lineage: Eukaryota; Viridiplantae; Streptophyta; Magnoliopsida; Alismatales; Zosteraceae. The record is from RNAcentral.